Molecule: long non-coding RNA, 1306 nt
Filed under: Marmota monax (woodchuck)
Lineage: Eukaryota; Metazoa; Chordata; Mammalia; Rodentia; Sciuridae
Source: RNAcentral
AAAAGACAAAUACUUCAUAAUUCUACUCAUAUGAGAUACGUAGAGUAGUCAAAAUACAGAGAUAGAUAGUGGAAUGGUAAUUGUCAAGAGCUGGAAAGAGAGGGAAACAGGGAGAUGUUAUUUAAUGGAUAUAGAGUUCAGUUUUAAAAGGUGAAGGUAUGGAGAGGAGUGGUGGUGAUGGUGAACCACCUUAUAAAUGUACUUAAUAGCACUGAACUGUAUACUGAAAAAUGGUUAAGAUGGUGAAUUUUAUGUUACAUAUACUUAAACACACACACACAGCACAAAUCAUGUUAAACCAGAGUACACAAUCAGUAACUGGCAGUGCUAAGAUCUGGAUCCAGGUAGACUUGUCUGAUUCCCUGCACUUUCUCAUCUCUUUGUCUUUACUUGAGCUGUCUCUGCCUAGAUGUCAUUCUCUGCCUGAACAGGUCUGGCCAGCUCCUCCUUUCCCUUAGGACUCUGGUAAAGCAUUCCCUCCGUAACUCCCUUCCUUACACUGGUUACAUGUCUUCUUACUUCUAUAAUUGUGCUCACAUUAUUUUGGGAUGUAAUCACAAAAUAAUUUUAUUCAUAUUUCCUUCGAUGUGUCUUCCUGUUCGAGUUCUUCCCUGCCCAGAAAUGAAACCACAGGCAAUUCUGUUUUCUGAUUAUUUCAGGUAAUGAAUAGUUAUCUAGGCCAAGGAACUGUAUAGACACCUCUCAGAAGAUGACAUACAAUCAAUCAACAAAUAUAUGAAAAAAUGCUCAACAUCUCUAGUAAUUAGAGAAAUGCAAAUCAAAACUACUCUAAGAUUUCAUCUUACUUCAGUCAGAAUGGCAGUUAUCAAGAAUACAAGCAACAAUAAGUGUUAGUGAGGAUGUGGGGAAAAAGGCACACUCAUACAUUGCUGGUAGGACUGCAAAGUGGUGCAGCCAAUGUGGAAAGCAGUAUGGAGAUUUCUUAGAAAACAUGGAAUGGAACCACCUUUGACCCAGCUAUCUCACUCCUUGGUUUAUACCCAAAGGACUUAAAAACAGCAUUCUACAGGGACAUAGCCACAUCAAUGUUUAUAGCAGCACAAUUCACAAUAGCUAAAUUGUGGAACCAACCUAGAUGCCCUUCAAUAGAUGAAUGGAUAAAGAAACUGUUGUAUACAUACACAAUGAAAUACUAUUCAGCAUUAAAAGAGAAUAAAAUUAUGGCAUUUGCAGGUAAAUGGUUGCAGUUAGAGAAUAUCAUGCUAAUGAAGUAAACCAGCCCCCCAAAAUCAAAGGCUGAAUGUUUCCUCUGAUAAGUGGAUGCUGACUCAUAAUGGGGGUGGGC